GUGGUGAGGAGAGGGAGCGAGCAUGAUGUGGGAGGCUGUGUGAUAUUAGUGAAAUUACCCAAAGAGGCUGGCGGACAUGCCCAAGAUGGGCAGCACAGUCAGAAGGCAUGUGGUUAAUUGGGAGCAGCUCAAUGGCUACCAUGCUUCUCCCCGAGACACAGCAUUCCGCAGCUGAGGAGGUUUGGGCUGAGAUCAAAUCCUGAUAUCAUAUCUGCAGGCUCUGUGUGAGCUUUGGGGAUUGAGUAGCCAGGGUCCCUGGUAAUUUUUGCUCACCCUUUGGCCACUUCCUAGGCUCUCCUUGUCCAGAAAGCUCCUCAGAGGAGAAGACUCUGUUCUAGCCAGCGAUGUGUGUCUGCCUGGAGGAGUUCAGCAUGCACAGACACCACGUGCUUCUUAGCUUGUCACAGAUGCCCUGAGCCACAACCUUCCAUGGCAUGUGGCGUUGGAAGUCCCCUUUGACAUAAUCCGGAUAAGCACCCUCACCCUGCAGAUGGGAAAACUGAAGUCUAGCCAAGACAUCAAAGCUCACACUAGGAGUCAAGGGCACAGCUGGGCCCAGAACUACCUAUCCUGGUACUACAUUUUUUCUCUUUCCAUAGGAUGCUCAUUAACCCUGGAAGACGGGUAACCUUUCCAAAAAGACUUGUUGAUCUAUUGGUUUUACCUGAACCAGAAAUCAGGUUCAUAGCAGGCAUUCCAUGGUGAUGGGAUGACUCAAGCCAAAGCGUAGAAUCAAAGAUAAUGUUGGUUUGGGGAGAAGAGAAGAAGUCAACUCCACAAAAUGCCAAGUCGGCCAUCAUCACCAGGUGGUUAGCUGUAUCAAGUGGCUUUCAGAAGAUCAUCUCCAUAUCAGGAUUAUAUAAAAAUGCAGUUAUGUUUUCUUUGAGUAUUUUUAUAACUUAAAUCCUUAAUCAUCUAAAACUUAUUUUGAGAUAAUGGAUGGGACAGAAAUCCAGUAUUUUCCCCCUGAAUUAUUGACAAUCUGUUACGAUAUCAUGUACUGAGUUUUCCGACAUUUCUCUGGUGAUGUGGAAUUCUACCUUUAUAAUUUGUAAAUUCCUAUAGGCACUGAGUUUCUCUUUUCUUCCACUGAUAUGUGUGUGUAUUCCCCCACCAUUCCUGUAUGUUCUAAUUAUGUUGAUAUAUUUAUGAUAAUCUUGAUUGCAUUAAAAUGUGUCAGUGGGCUCAC
Molecule: long non-coding RNA, 1189 nt
Filed under: Zalophus californianus (California sea lion)
Lineage: Eukaryota; Metazoa; Chordata; Mammalia; Carnivora; Otariidae
Description: lncRNA (ENSZCAG00015009493.1)
Source: RNAcentral